This 64-nucleotide non-coding RNA is filed under the name uncultured Schaedlerella sp. The record is from RNAcentral. Lineage: Bacteria; Bacillati; Bacillota; Clostridia; Lachnospirales; Lachnospiraceae.
GCCGAAACGCUCUGCGGAGCGUCAGCCGCGGGAUGGUCGCCCGGCUCUGAUGAUGGCAGACCAG